GAUCAUGGCUCAGGAUGAACGCUAGCUACAGGCUUAACACAUGCAAGUCGAGGGGCAGCAUGGAGUUGCUGCAAACUCUGAUGGCGACCGGCGCACGGGUGAGUAACGCGUAUCCAACCUUCCCUAUAGUAGAGGAUAGCCCGGCGAAAGUCGGAUUAAUACUCUAUGUUUUCCGUUGCAGACAUCUAAGAUGGAACAAAGGCUUGCCGCUAUAGGAUGGGGAUGCGUCUGAUUAGAUAGUAGGCGGGGUAACGGCCCACCUAGUCGACGAUCAGUAGGGGUUCUGAGAGGAAGGUCCCCCACAUUGGAACUGAGACACGGUCCAAACUCCUACGGGAGGCAGCAGUGAGGAAUAUUGGUCAAUGGGCGAGAGCCUGGACCAGCCAAGUAGCGUGCAGGAUGACGGCCCUAUGGGUUGUAAACUGCUUUUAUAUGGGGAUAAAGUCACCCACGCGUGGGUGUUUGUAGGUACCAUAUGAAUAAGGACCGGCUAAUUCCGUGCCAGCCGCCGC
This 512-nucleotide ribosomal RNA is filed under the name uncultured bacterium. Its description in RNAcentral is "bacterial SSU rRNA". It matches the Rfam family "Bacterial small subunit ribosomal RNA", at positions 15 to 518 of the family's 1533-position model. The record is from RNAcentral.